Molecule: ribosomal RNA, 492 nt
Filed under: uncultured bacterium
Lineage: Bacteria
Description: partial 16S ribosomal RNA
Rfam family: Bacterial small subunit ribosomal RNA
Source: RNAcentral
AGUGAACGCUGGCGGUAGGCCUAACACAUGCAAGUCGAACGGCAGCACAGUAAGAGCUUGCUCUUACGGGUGGCGAGUGGCGGACGGGUGAGGAAUACAUCGGAAUUUACUUUUUCGUGGGGGAUAACGUAGGGACACUUACGCUAAUACCGCAUACGACCUACGGGUGAAAUCAGGAGAUCUUCGGACAUUGCGCGAUCGAAUGAGCCGAUGUCGGAUUAGCUAGUUGGCGGGGUAAAGGCCCACCAAGGCGACGAUCCGUAGCUGGUCUGAGAGGAUGAUCAGCCACACUGGAACUGAGACACGGUCCAGACUCCUACGGGAGGCAGCAGUGGGGAAUAUUGGACAAUGGGCGCAAGCCUGAUCCAGCCAUACCGCGUGGGUGAAGAAGGCCUUCGGGUUGUAAAGCCCUUUUGUUGGGAAAGAAAAGCAGCAGGUUAAUACCCCGCUGUUCUGACGGUACCCAAAGAAUAAGCACCGGCUAACUUCGUG